Long non-coding RNA from Zonotrichia leucophrys gambelii, 1314 nucleotides. RefSeq lists it as uncharacterized. The transcript has 3 exons. The record is from RefSeq and is a predicted model, not a curated record. Lineage: Eukaryota; Metazoa; Chordata; Aves; Passeriformes; Passerellidae.
GUCAGUGGCUGCUUUGUGAAGAAGAAAGAGUCAGUGCUGUGAGGAACUGCCCAUGAGAAACACCAAGAUAUACCUUGAGAAAAAAGAAAAAUAUCAUUAACGUGUAUUGGAAAGAAAAACACCCCUGCUGCACACCAACAGAAGGUGAUGUGUCUUAGGGGAAUAAACCUCAGCCCAGCCCUGUGUGCUUCUACCCUGAGAUGCUCAUACUGCAGGGGACCCUUUUCCAGCUUCUGAAUUCAAUUUACAGAAGGAAAAGUGCCAAAUAAGAGCAAAUGUUUUAAUUAUAAAGAAACACUUUUCUUAGGUAAUACAAUUGCUAUGUUUGUGAAAGGAAUUUAAUGUGCUACACAGUCUACCAGAGUUUUUAAUGAAUGCUAAGUCAGAAAAAACUGCAUGAGGCAGCUGUGGUAGUAUUUGCAUAUUUGCUCAGGAUAAUUGAUAGAAUUGUUAAAUUAAAUAUUGCAAAAGGCAGCCUAAUACACUGUGUGCAAGAAAAGUAAAACCAUGAGAUUCAGUAAUUUGUCUGAUUGAACAUUUUGUAUGUUUAAGCAGUAUGUCUCCAUAGACAAUGCAUUUCUGGGUCAUUUUAACUCAGCUUGGGUGGAAAUGGGAAACUUCAUCAUGCAGAACUCUGGAAGAGUUUUACCACAGCUGCACUCUAACCAAAACUUUCACUCCAUGUGACCCUAAUCUUAACUGUAAGUACAAACUCAGAUUUGGCUUCUCCUUCUCUGUAUUAAUAUCCCAAAUGUGUUAUUCAGCAUAAAAUCUGUUCUACAGAUCUUGAUUAUACAGUCAUGUGUUGGUGUGAAUUGUGUGUGAUAUGUAUAUGAACAUGCUAGCAAUCAAAAAGAGAAAACAAUACAAAACCUAGAAAAUAACAUUUCUGAACCAUUAUGAUUGUGUAUUUUGUAUCUAACCAGUUUUCCAAAGAGGAAAAAGAACAACACAUCAUUUGGAACAUCCUUGGCAGUUGCCUAGUUUCCCUGAAAUAUCUCUAAAAGGAGAAGUCAUUGAUUCAUGGACCUUUAGGGGAGCUGGUGUGUGAGAAGAACAGAGGUGGACUUACUGAAGUCAUCAGACAAAAUUGACUGGCCCAAGUUCCUGUGCUGCAUCUCAGAUCAGUUGUGUGAGCUGUGUCCUGUUCAGCAUUGCUGAAGGCUGGGGAACUGAUGAUGUGCAAAUGAUGAGAUAUCUGUAGGAUACAAGAGGAAGGGAUUUGAAACACUGAUUCCAAUCAGUUAUUUAUAGUUCUCAGUUUUUAUGGGGACAAAAGAACUUUAAUUGAAAUGGAAACACAGAGUGGUUGAA